AAGAGUGAGAUCUUUCUGGCACAUUUGUUAAGUUUCUGCCCGAGUCUGCCACAUAUUUUGGAGCUGGCAAAGGCUUGAAAACAAAGAGAUCUCUCUUAAGCCUUUCCUGCAUCAAAGAUUGGCUCCCACAGCA
Molecule: small nucleolar RNA, 133 nt
Filed under: Microcebus murinus (gray mouse lemur)
Lineage: Eukaryota; Metazoa; Chordata; Mammalia; Primates; Cheirogaleidae
Description: Small nucleolar RNA SNORA12 (ENSMICG00000021346.3)
Rfam family: Small nucleolar RNA SNORA12
About the family: U108 belongs to the H/ACA family of snoRNAs. The sequence is predicted to guide the pseudouridylation of the U372 residue in the 28S rRNA subunit. However it has not been reported as a pseudouridylation site.
Source: Rfam by way of RNAcentral